This 28-nucleotide non-coding RNA is filed under the name Rattus norvegicus (Norway rat). The record is from RNAcentral. Lineage: Eukaryota; Metazoa; Chordata; Mammalia; Rodentia; Muridae.
UUCAUUAGGUUGUUUGGGGACUCUGAGC